UGUCAAGUUACCAUUAAACUAGCCAGAGCA
Molecule: non-coding RNA, 30 nt
Filed under: Rattus norvegicus (Norway rat)
Lineage: Eukaryota; Metazoa; Chordata; Mammalia; Rodentia; Muridae
Source: RNAcentral